Molecule: ribosomal RNA, 449 nt
Filed under: uncultured bacterium
Lineage: Bacteria
Description: partial 16S ribosomal RNA
Rfam family: Bacterial small subunit ribosomal RNA
Source: RNAcentral
CCUACGGGAGGCAGCAGUGGGGAAUAUUGGACAAUGGGGGAAACCCUGAUCCAGCAAUGCCGCGUGUGUGAAGCAGGCCUGCGGGUUGUAAAGCACUUUCGGUUGGGAAGAAAAGUUUGGCGCCAAUACCGCCGAACCUUGACGUUACUGACAGAAGAAGCACCGGCUAACUCUGUGCCAGCAGCCGCGGUAAUACAGAGGGUGCCACUGUGCGUCGGAAGCACUUAGGGGAACACGUGCGUAGGGUGUGAAAUCCCCGGGCUUAACCUGGGAACUGCAUUCGAUACUACAUGGCUAGAGUAUGGUAGAGGGAAGCGGAAUUUCCGGUGUAGCGGUGAAAUGCGUAGAUAUCGGAAGGAACACCAAUGGCGAAGGCAGCUUCCUGGACUAAUACUGACACUGAGGCACGAAAGCGUGGGUAGCAAACAGGAUUAGAUACCCCAGUAGUC